Molecule: non-coding RNA, 27 nt
Filed under: Cricetulus griseus (Chinese hamster)
Lineage: Eukaryota; Metazoa; Chordata; Mammalia; Rodentia; Cricetidae
Source: RNAcentral
AGGGUAUUAAAUUUCUGUACAAGAAGC